GACCUUAUCCCCACGCCCGCUCUACGCCAUCCCCGCCCCCUCGGCACCUUCCCAGGCAGCAGGCGUCGCCGCAGGCACCUCCCUCCUUGGCAGUAGGCGCCGCCGUCACCACUUCCCUCCCCGGCAGCAAGCACCGCCGCCCCCAACUUCCUCCGGCGGCAGAAGCGUGGCCGCCUCCAUCUCCCUCCCCAGCAGACGCACCACCGACCUCACCUCCCCCCCGGCAGCCGCGCUGUCGCGACUCCACCUCCUGGCCGUGCCGCCGCGCGCCUCCAUCUCCCGGCUUCCCGGCGCCGCCCUGUCGGCCACCUCCUGCGGCCCAGCUCAAUCCAGUCCCGCCGGCUUUCGCCAUGCAAGCCAACCAGGACACCUCCACCGCGACAGAGAUGUCGCCCCGCGCUCCCCACCGGCUUGCCCUCGCUGCCUGCCCCGUGCCUCCAAUCGGAGCACCCCAUCGCCGUCCACCGUGGCACCUCGCCACCACUUGCAGAUGGAGGAGGCCUCGGCCUGCAGCUAGAGGAGUUCUUGACCUGCAUCUGCAGAUGAAUGGCACAUCCGGGAGAUAUAGGAGAUGGCAGCGCACCUCCCACUCACCAUGGACGGCGUCCCCUCCUCUGCUCGAACUUCUUCUCCAACCUCAGCCUCGCCAACCUGAUAUUCCUCGGUGAAGCCCGGCAAGUGGUGUGCUCUUUCUGUUACUGUUCUUCCUCACAAAAGCAUGUGUCCGCAACCGUUGGCCAACUCUGACCACUCCAACUUCCUGCUCCUCUCUUCUAAUUCAUCUUUUCUCCUAUCCAAGUAUGCGUGUGCGCAGCUAAAGUUCAACAAUUGGGCAGAGAGCCGGAGACGGCGAGUCAACGUCACAAAGGACAAUGGGCCGCCUCUGAUGCUGCGCACAGGCUUGAGGCAGUGUCAUCAAACCCCGUCAGAUUGCACGUCCACAGUCCACCCGAGCUCCAUGUCCAGCUGGGUCCGAUGCAAGGAUGUAAGGUCCUAUCUGACCUCUCUUCUUUCUCUGAAACAAGCACGAAGAAGCAUCAGGUAUUUGAUGCUCUUUAGUUCUACGAAGUGCUAGCUAUACUAUACAUGUACAAGCCGUGCAUAUGCUGGCUGGAGCGUGUGUGCACUGGUGCGUGGGGCAUGUACUCUCUUUUUUAGAUGCUUGUACUGAAAAACGUGGGCAUUUUCUGAAUCAGAUAGAGGGGUUGGUUGUUGAUUCAGGUGAA
Long non-coding RNA from Triticum dicoccoides, 1226 nucleotides. RefSeq lists it as uncharacterized. The transcript is spliced from 2 exons. The record is from RefSeq and is a predicted model, not a curated record. NCBI's taxonomy places the organism in Eukaryota, Viridiplantae, Streptophyta, Magnoliopsida, Poales, Poaceae.